UACAGAGGUGGCAAGCGUUGUUCGGAAUUACUGGGCGUAAAGGGCGCGUAGGCGGCCUUCUAAGUCAGACGUGAAAUCCCCAGGCUUAACUUGGGAACUGCGUCUGAUACUGGGAGGCUUGAGUGCGGGAGAGGGAUGUGGAAUUCCAGGUGUAGCGGUGAAAUGCGCAGAUAUCAGGAGGAACACCGGUGGCGAAGGCGGCUCACUGGACCGGUAUUGACGCUGAGGUGCGAAAGCGUGGGGAGCAAACAGG
This 253-nucleotide ribosomal RNA is filed under the name uncultured bacterium. RNAcentral's name for it is "partial 16S ribosomal RNA". It matches the Rfam family "Bacterial small subunit ribosomal RNA", at positions 524 to 776 of the family's 1533-position model. The record is from RNAcentral.